UGGUUGUUUGAAACAACAUACAUAAACUUUAAAACAAACUAAAAUAGUAGUUUGUAUGCCUCACAUCUUUGGAACUCUAUAGUUUCAAGAGGCUCUCGUAAUUAGUUUUUUUUAUUUAUUUCUUUAUUAGUGAGUUCUGCAGCCCGAGGCUGGCUGUUACAGCUUUUUAAUUAGUGAUUCAUCAGCAAAUCUGUCAGGAUUGGCAACAAACCAUCCGAUUUAUGUACACAUUAAGCUCAAAAUGGUUUUGGCGAAACCCGAACACCGAUGGAGAUUGCUUCAUACCAAGUUUACAGAUCAUACAAAAAUCAAACAAUGCCUCAAGCGAGCGUAAACUGCACUUCCAGGCAGCAGGUCAUCACCCAGUCGAGACAGGAGUCAAUAAUGUCGUCCGAAGUAAUAUAUCCAUUUGGUAGAAUUAGACCCUUGUAAUAUAUAAAAAUAGAAAUAAACAUGAAACAUAAAAUAGAAACAUCAAGAUUCAAAAAAUAGGAAAUUACCAAGAAAGAACUAGCCGCCUGAAUAAUCAAGGUACAAUUAAUGUUUGUUUCAAGCUAUAAAUUUGUUUGAAUCAAAUCAAUGUUUUGUUAUUCCAAUCUAAAUUUCUUAGUUUGAAACAACCAAAAUCAUUAGUCGAUUAUACGGCUGUCAAAAUAACAAACUAAGAUUUUGGUUGUUUCAAACAAAUGAUUGUUUGAUUCAGUUGUCAAAGUGGC
This is a long non-coding RNA of Armigeres subalbatus, 716 nucleotides long. RefSeq lists it as uncharacterized. The transcript has 3 exons. NCBI's taxonomy places the organism in Eukaryota, Metazoa, Arthropoda, Insecta, Diptera, Culicidae. The record is from RefSeq and is a predicted model, not a curated record.